Molecule: ribosomal RNA, 433 nt
Filed under: uncultured bacterium
Lineage: Bacteria
Description: partial 16S ribosomal RNA
Rfam family: Bacterial small subunit ribosomal RNA
Source: RNAcentral
AACGAACGCUGGCGGCAGGCCUAACACAUGCAAGUCGAGCGCGCCCUUCGGGGUGAGCGGCGGACGUGUGAGUAACGCGUGGGAACGUGCCCUUUUCUACGGAAUAGCCUCGGGAAACUGAGAGUAAUACCGUAUACGCCCUUUGGGGGAAAGAUUUAUCGGAAAAGGAUCGGCCCGCGUUGGAUUAGGUAGUUGGUGUGGUAAUGGCCUACCAAGCCGACGAUCCAUAGCUGGUUUGAGAGGAUGAUCAGCCACACUGGGACUGAGACACGGCCCAGACUCCUACGGGAGGCAGCAGUGGGGAAUCUUAGACAAUGGGGGCAACCCUGAUCUAGCCAUGCCGCGUGAGUGAUGAAGGCCUUAGGGUUGUAAAGCUCUUUCAGCUGGGAAGAUAAUGACGGUACCAGCAGAAGAAGCCCCGGCUAACUCCGUG